RNAcentral lists this long non-coding RNA (7392 nucleotides) under Trifolium pratense (red clover). Its description in RNAcentral is "long non-coding RNA (TPRA_LNC001150)". Lineage: Eukaryota; Viridiplantae; Streptophyta; Magnoliopsida; Fabales; Fabaceae. The record is from RNAcentral.
CGUCCUACACCACUCGUGUGUUAGGGCGAAGAAUCACGAUGUUGAUUGCUGGUGUUUUCUUCAUUGGUGGAGUUAUCUUCAAUGCUGCUGCUCAAAACCUUGCCAUGCUUAUAGUUGGAAGAAUCUUACUUGGUUGUGGUGUUGGUUUUGCCAAUCAGGUAUAGUACCAUUUUUUCUUUCACUCAUUUAUUUAUUUUGUUAAACUUUAAUCAAUUAUUAUUUGUAUUAUUGUAGUCACAUGACAUUGUUCACUUUCAAUGCUAAAUUGAAUACACAACUACUAAUGCAUACAUGAUACAUGUGAUUCUCUCGUUGAUUACAUAUAAGUAAAUAAUACUUAUAGUGUAUACUAAUAAUUUAGUAAAAAAUGUACUAGUUGUUAUCUAGUGUAGGGUUGUUUAUAUUUGCUAAUUAGUCAUUAGGAUCAAGGUUUAUUUUUGUUUGUUUCGAGAGUGUAAAAGGUUAUGCUGUCAUGUGUUGAUUUAAUGUCUCUUACGUAGUAUACAUUUGUUUAUGUUACAUGAACUUUGCUAAUGUCGUAUUACCAUCUUUUUCACCAAUUUGGCGUUGUGUAUUGCGUGUGUGUAUAAAUAAUAUAUAUGACCGACGUAUAAAUAAAAUGAAAUAUGAAUAAUUGAAAUGAAAUAUUCUAUUGUGGAUUGUCACGCGUCAAUGGGAAACAAUUUUAUUUUAUUUUGAACUUAGGACUUUUGUGACAAUUUUGAGUCCAUAAUAUUUUUGGUUUGCCACUCCCAAAAUCCUUGUCACAUUAUUUCUACAAAUAUUUAUGGUCCUCGAUAGAGACCUUUUAAUUUGUUUUAUAUUACUACUUUUUGAUUAUUGAACAUGCUAUUCUGACAAUGAAAGCUCCGUUCAGAAUCAGAACUCAAUUUCUUUGAAUCUUCCAAAUUUUGAAAUUAAUAAUCUUGGGUUUUUUGUUUUAGAAUAGAGGAGUUAUACUUUGACAAAUUUUUUAGAUUUACAAUUUUUAAUUUUUGUUUUUUUUCUAUUGUCAUCACUUAUGUGGACCUUAAAUUUUGAUUCCUUUCGUACAUAAGCAUUAUAGCUAAGGUGCUUGUAGUCCAAAUCAUACAUCAUGGAAUUGAAAAAUAGCUUUCUAGCUAAGAAUUAAGUGUAUUAGUGAUAACAUGCAUGACCCUUAAUUAAGAUUUCUUUUUGUGAUUCAAUAUCUAACUAAAUACUUUUUUUUGUUUAAUUUGAUUAUAGGCUGUUCCAGUGUUUCUUUCUGAAAUUGCACCAUCAAGAAUACGUGGAGCAUUGAAUAUACUUUUCCAACUUAAUAUCACUAUUGGCAUUUUAUUUGCUAACCUUGUCAAUUAUGGAACCAACAAGUAAGUAUUUUUCUUGGGUAAUGUUACAUACUAGUGUUUUUUUCUUUUCUUCUUCAAUUUUGUUGUUAAUUGGAAAUGAAAACAAUUAAAAUGAUUGAUGAGUAAUAAAGCACAAGUCAUAGUCAAAAUUGUAGUAAACUAUUGACAUCAUUAGUAGUAAGUAAUACUACUAGUAAUAUUAGUAGUAGUUGGCAAAUUGAAUUUUAAUACACAGUGAAUAUUAAAUAACAAAAUUUUGGUCAUUUCUAUGACUUUUAUCAACAUAAAUUAGUACUAUUUAAAAGUGUAGCACAUGCUUGAUUCUUUGGUAGGUGUUCUCAACUAAAAACAGGACAAGUGUAUUAAUCCAUUAUUUUAAAUCUACAUGGGUCAACUUUGGUGGAUUUUAAAGUAGAUACACUUCAUAGAAACGUGGAUUUGUCUUGUGCAAUUCUUAAUCAGAGUGACUUCAGCACUUGAAAGUAUAUUUUUGUUACUAUAGUAUUAAAAAUAAAUAGUGUAAUUAAUAUUAGUAGCUAAAUUUUGAACCACACCUUUUGUAGAUAUUUGUUGAAUUUCAGGAGAUAUUGCUUCAAGAAACAAAUGAAUUCUAAAUGCAAUAAUGUAGUUUGAGUUAUGAGAAACUUGUUGAUUACUAACAAUUAUUUGAUGUUGUGACCAAAUGUAGAAUUGAAGGUGGAUGGGGUUGGAGGCUAUCUCUAGGGUUGGCUGGUAUCCCAGCACUUCUCCUAACAGUUGGUGCCCUUUUGGUUGUUGACACACCUAACAGUCUCAUUGAACGUGGUCGUACGGAAGAAGGAAAAGCUGCACUAAAAAAGAUUCGUGGCACUGAUAACAUUGAACCAGAGUUCUUGGAACUUGUUGAGGCAAGUCGUGUAGCUCAAGAGGUUAAACAUCCUUUUAGAAAUCUUCUCAAACGCAAGAACCGACCUCAACUUGUCAUUUCCAUCGCCUUGCAAGUAAGUACUACUAUAUAACUAGUCAGGGGCCCGUGCAUAUGCACGGGGGAACUGAUCUCAUCUUAAAAUUUUAGUCACAUUGAAAUAAUUAAAUAUUAAAAUUUGUUUUGUUCAAUUGCUGAUUCAAAUAACAGAUAUUUCAACAAUUCACUGGCAUCAAUGCGAUCAUGUUUUAUGCGCCAGUGUUAUUCAACACAUUGGGAUUCAAGAAUGAUGCUUCACUCUAUUCGGCUGUGAUAACCGGUGCUGUGAAUGUGCUCUCCACAGUUGUGUCUAUCUACUCGGUGGACAAACUUGGACGUCGUAUGUUAUUGUUAGAAGCCGGUGUACAAAUGUUCUUGUCUCAAGUCGUGAUAGCUAUCAUUUUAGGUUUUAAGGUCACUGAUCAUUCAGAUGAGCUCUCAAAAGGUUACGCAAUAUUCGUAGUUAUCUUGGUUUGCACUUUUGUGUCUGCUUUUGCUUGGUCUUGGGGUCCUCUUGGAUGGCUUAUUCCAAGUGAGAUAUUUCCAUUGGAGACUCGUUCCGCCGGACAAAGUGUCACUGUUUGUGUAAACUUGCUCUUCACAUUUGUCAUUGCACAAGCUUUUCUAUCUAUGUUGUGUCACUUCAAAUUUGGCAUUUUCAUUUUCUUCUCUAGCUGGGUUUUCAUCAUGUCAAUCUUUGUGUUUUUCUUGGUGCCGGAGACGAAGAACAUACCGAUUGAAGAGAUGACGGAGAGAGUAUGGAAGAAACAUUGGUUCUGGAAGAGAUUUACCGAAGAUGAGUAUACCAAUGACAAAAUAGCCAAUGCUGAUUAUCAGUUGUAAAUUGGUGGAGUUUCUUGCAAAUACCAAAUAUGAGUAUUUUAGUCUCUUAGAGAAAAUAUAUAAUAUUAAGCAAGUUAUCAUUGCAAUCACAAAUUAACUAUCCUGUUUUGGAUUUUAUUUCUUUUUUACCCCCUCCUCUGUUUCUUUUUUUGUGAAAAGUUUGUUACAUACAAAUUUUGCUAUGGAAACAAUAAUAUGGAUUAAUUAUUUAAUUUCCAAAUGUGUGGUUUAUGUUCUAUUCUAUNNNNNNNNNNNNNNNNNNNNNNNNNNNNNNNNNNNNNNNNNNNNNNNNNNNNNNNNUAACUGCAAGUUCCCUCUAAAAAUUUGUUUCAAAUAUUAGUCUCUAAAUUUUCUGUUACCAUUUUAAGAGAAUUUCGACAAAAAAAUAGCGAAUAAUUGAUAAGUUAGCUUAUAGCAAAUAGCUUAUAAGAUAAUUUAUAGCAGAUAAACUUAACGAUUGAAUUUGUAGUGCUUAAUAAAAUUAACGAUUAAACUUUCUUAUAAAUAUAAAAUGAUAUAAGAAAGAUAAGUUUAAUUCAUAUUUCAUUUUUUUUAAGUAAGAUUUUUUAAUUUUUUUAAUAAAGGCCACAAGAGUACAAAUGUGACAUCUAUGUUAACACUCCCAAGAAACCACCUAAAAGUAUCCUUGUGAAAUUUAUUAAAAUAAAAUAAAAUAAGAAAGAUACAAAGAAUCUUGAGGGGACUAGACCAAAACCCAUGGUGUAAGAAUUUCUCUACUUCAUUAAAAACCUCACCAAAGAAAAUCUAAUGGGAUAAAACCUUGAUGAAGAAAAAAAUAGUAUAGAGAUAAAAUAAAGAUUCGAACAUAAACAAUAAUAUCAACAAAAUCUAUAUAAAGGUAAACCUAACUGUUUUUUUUUUGUAAAUAAGAUGACUAGAGUAAAAUUGAAAGGAAAAAAAAUAUAAGAUAUAAAGUUUACGUUAAUUGAAUUAGCUUACCAAAAUAGUAUUAAGCAAGUAAAAAUAAGCUAUCAACCCGUAAGAAAAUGAGAUUACCAAAAAUGGUAAAAUUUAUGACUCUUAAAGUUUUUAAUGUGAAGAUUCAUCCUCCUAAAACUCCUAAAAUAAAAUAAAAAUAAUUGUGACAUCCUUUCUCAAGUCAAUUUUUUUUUUCUUUAACAAUUGUUUUAAGAUACUCUUUUACAGGGCUAGCCAACAAACUUUAUAACGAGACUUUCAAAAAUAUAAUACUAAACUUAAAAAUUUAAAUUAAUUUUUGUUGAAUAUGAGACUAGGUCUUAGAACAUGCAUGGAACCUCAUCACUUAACCAAAUGUGCCGGUUAAACUAUUAUGUAUUUAUAACUAAUUUUAAAAAAAAAUUGGGAUCUUUUUUUAACCAAAAUUAUGAGGCCUAAAACUCUUCCUUAGAUUAGGCCUUUAGGCGACCUUGCUCUUUUAACAUUUUUCUAGAUUACUCAAAAAAGAAUAGAUCAGAUGGCAAUGACUCGCAAGACUUUAAAAAAAAAUACAACAAAGAGAAAAUUUGUACCAAAAAGAAAAAAUGAAAAGCAACGUAGGGCAUAAAAGCAGAGGCGGCUUGGAGGCAUGUGCGAGGUGUGCGACGGUAUAGGGUCUCAAAAUUUUGAGGGCCUCAAUUCAAAAUUUUGAGGUCCUAUAAUAUUUUUUUGAAAAAGCUAAAUUAGCCCACCCAAAUUGGCGUCAGAGAGAAUCAAACCUCAGACCUCAAGAGAAGUACACUCACAGGUCCUAAGCCAAUACCAAUGCACUAACCCAAGUGAGUUUGAGGUCCUAUAAUAUUAUUUAUAUAUUAUUUAUAACUAUAAAAUAUCAGAUGUAUAUUAAUAGAUUAAUUUUUAGGCCCUAAAAUAAUAGUUAUAUAUUGUUAAUGUUCAUAAAUAUCAUAUGAGUAUCAAUAUAUUAGUUAUCUAUACUCAUAAAUAUAGUUCUAGCCCAUUUUAAUCUUUGCAUAAAAUUUAAUUUUAGAUUAUGAUGUUCAUUUUUUACGUUAUAUACAAAGAUAAUUAUUUUGUAUUUCUUGUUCCAUUUAAUUUAAUGCAAUAUUUAAUAUUCAUAAUUUAUAUGUUUACAAGAAUGUUUUUUUUUUAUUAUAUGCAAUUUAAAUCGAUAAUUUUUUUAAAUUUUUUUUUAUUAAGGGAACACUUUUAUAUUUUGCACAGAAUCUCCUAAAACUCGGAGACGCCCCUGCAUAAAAGUGGGGGUAAUUCUUACUUAGUCACAAGGUCAAUAAAAAUUAUUUUAACAUACACGAAAGUAUGAAAAAAUAAAAUAUAAAUAAAUUAAAUAAUAUGAAUUUUUUUUGGUACAUAAAGGAGGGCAAUAAUAUGAAUUUUUAAAUGAAUAAGUUAUAUAUCCUUUAUUUUUUUUAUAAGCGAAUAAAAGCAUCCACAAUGGAGAUACUCAUUUUUUAGUAUUUAACUGGGCCCCACAUGUACACAUCACUCAUUUAUAAUUUUUUUAAUAAUAGUACCUAAUAAGUACUCAUUUUUCCAACCCAACAUCUCUUAAAAAGUUCUAGAUAGACCAUACUAAUAACACAUCUCACCAAUAACUAUAUAUCAUUAUAAAUGAGACCCACGAAAACAAAAUAGAUACGGAUGCUUAUUGUAGAACUAGUAUCUAUUUGGUACUCAAAUGAGUAUUGCUCUAAUGGUAGCACCUAUUAAAUACUAUAAGUACUAAAUAAGUGCUAUAUCAUUGAAGAUGGUCUAAGUUAUAUAUUCUGAUGAGCGCGUGUCUAGAUUUUUUAUAUUUAGAUUUAAGGUCUAUAACUCUUAGUUAGGUCACUUAAUCUUUAGAUAUACAGUAUGUCUAAUGUAUUUUAGUUAGAUUUAUUUAUGGCCCAAAUAAGUGUAGCCGGAAGAGUGGUCAUAGUCAGUCAACUUUGGCCACUUCACUUUGUCUAAUUUCCUCUUUAUAUAAUCUUUGUUUUCCACCGAUUAAUUGCAUUGCAUUAUAUGUGGAUGCAUACAUAUAAUUCAUAGUUUUGAUUCACCAUCAUCUCAAUUAUUUUAGUACGUUAUAUAUCUAAGUUUUUGAUCGGCAACACCAGCUUGUUAACCAUGGCUGGCGGAGGUUUCAUCACCAGCGCCAGCAGCAACAAUUUUGAGGCAAAAAUAACUCCAAUAGUUAUAAUUUCAUGUAUCAUGGCUGCCACUGGUGGUCUCAUGUUCGGUUACGACGUUGGUGUUUCGGGUACAAUUUUCUUUUCUUUCUAUGUUCUUUUCGCAGAGUGAAACUACUUGUUACUCUGUUUCAAUUUUUAUAAGAUGAAUAUAAUUAAUUAACUACAUCUUAAUCAUAUAAUUAAUGACCUCAUUUCUAUUUUGGUUCAAAAUUAAUAUAAAAUUAUAUUAUAGAGUAACAAAAUUUGUAUUAUGAUGAUAGGUGGUGUAACAGCUAUGCCACCAUUCUUGAAGAAGUUCUUCCCAGCAGUAUACAGAAAGACAGUGCUAGAAAAAGGAUUAGAUAGUAAUUACUGCAAAUACAACAAUCAAGGAUUACAAUUAUUUACAUCGUCCUUAUAUCUAGCUGGUUUAACAGCCACUUUCUUCGCAUCCUAUACCACUCGAGUGUUGGGGAGAAGACUAACGAUGUUGAUAGCUGGUUUUUUCUUCAUUGGUGGAGUUAUCUUCAAUGCUGCUGCUCAAAACCUUGCCAUGCUUAUAGUUGGAAGAAUCUUACUUGGUUUUGGAGUUGGUUUUGCUAACCAGGUGCCCUCUUUUUCUUCCACUCUUUCAUUUUGUUAAAUUCUUGAUCAAUAGUACUCUUGACUCAAUUAUAGUUUUUUUUUUUCUUUCUAUAAAUCCCUUGUGAAUUAUUGUGAUGUUGACAAUGUUUGAUGUCAAUUAUGUUUCCCCCUUUUCUGUUUUUUAAUUUCUUAUAGAAAAUGACAUUUGAUUUAGCCAUUUAGGUGAAUGAUGCUGGGUGUUUUAUUUUCUUCUUUUUUGACUGAAAACAUUACUAUUAUUGUCUAAUAAUAUUACAUACUCCCUCAGUUCCUUUAAUCUCUCAAUAACUCAUACUUCACAUUUUCUAUAAAAUCAAUUUUAUUUUUUUUCAAUAACUACAUUUCUUUUUUCAAAAUAAAGGUAAAAUAGGGGGAAAAAGUCCAACUAUUUCCAAUCUUAGUUCAAGAUUUUUAUGUUAAAACGACACUUAAAAAUGAAUGGAGAGAAUAAUAAGUAUAUUAGUUAUUUCUUUUAUUAAGUAUAUUAGUUAUUAAUGAUAAGACUCGAGUUAAGUCGAUAUAACAUAAGGCUGGUUUAGAGGUU